GAGCAUGUGGACCAAGCAGACAGAGGCAUGGGCCACCCACUCUCAGAGAUGUGGGAAAAUGAAUCGGAAUAACAAGAGAAAAUGAUUCCAAACAGAAGAGGAAAGUGACGAUGUGAUGAAAAGGAAAAGAGAUUGGGAUUUGAUGGAGAGUCACAAAGUCACAAUGAUGCGCUCUUUUUUAAUGGAUGAGGAAACUGGAGCUCAGGGUUUGAGUCACUGACCUAAGUGAUCACCAACUGCUGUGGCUCAGAGUGCCCUGCCGGAGGACCAAAAUAAUGAGUCCAAAUGGAUCUGCCUGACCUUGAACUGGAGCCUCCAAAAUUCUGAGCAUAAAUAAAAUGUUUUUCUCUAUAAGUUGCUUACGUCAGAGAUUUCUUUAUGGUGAUGGAAAGCAGACUAAUACAUCACCAGAGAA
Molecule: long non-coding RNA, 415 nt
Organism: Heterocephalus glaber (naked mole-rat)
Lineage: Eukaryota; Metazoa; Chordata; Mammalia; Rodentia; Bathyergidae
Source: RefSeq, a predicted model, not a curated record